RNAcentral lists this ribosomal RNA (115 nucleotides) under archaeon. The record is from RNAcentral.
GAAGACGGCCAUAGUAACCGUGAAACGCCUGUUCCCAUUCCGAACACAGAAGCUAAGUCGGUUACGUCGGUUGUGUUAGUGUCCGAAAAGACGCGAAACUCCGAUGUUGUCUUCG